RNAcentral lists this long non-coding RNA (374 nucleotides) under Ananas comosus (pineapple). RNAcentral describes it as "long non-coding RNA (ACOM_LNC043711)". The record is from RNAcentral. Lineage: Eukaryota; Viridiplantae; Streptophyta; Magnoliopsida; Poales; Bromeliaceae.
GAAACAUAGCAAGCAAAUUCACACUGAAGCUGUCUCCUUGUUUUCACACCAGUAAGAGGGUCUCCAAUAACAUUUGACAAUGGGUGAUCUUUCACAGGUGUAAGUUCAGAUGAGGUGAUAGGGGUUUCAGAUGAAUCAUGUGAUGCAAUAUUAUCAACAGUUUCAGCAGAAAUAUCAGGCACAGAAAUUUCAUCAAUCACAGGCAAGUUAAAUGGAGAAUCAUUAUCAUCAUCAGUCAUCAAAGCAUUUGAAGAACCAUUCACAGAAGAUCCUACUGAAGAAGCUUCAUCUACUUUUAUAUUAAUGGAUUCUAUCACCGUCUUAGUACGUAAAUUGUACGCACGAUAAGCACGACUAGAAGUAAAAUAUCCAAG